GACGUAGGGGGCAAGCGUUGUCCGGAUUCAUUGGGCGUAAAGAGCUCGUAGGCGGUUCGAUAAGUCGGGUGUGAAACCUCCAGGCUCAACCUGGAGACGCCACCCGAUACUGUCGUGACUAGAGUCCAGUAGGGGAGCGUGGAAUUCCUGGUGUAGCGGUGAAAUGCGCAGAUAUCAGGAGGAACACCAGCGGCGAAGGCGGCGCUCUGGGCUGGAACUGACGCUGAGGAGCGAAAGCGUGGGGAGCGAACAGG
This 254-nucleotide ribosomal RNA is filed under the name uncultured bacterium. RNAcentral's name for it is "partial 16S ribosomal RNA". It matches the Rfam family "Bacterial small subunit ribosomal RNA", at positions 524 to 776 of the family's 1533-position model. The record is from RNAcentral.